This 2147-nucleotide long non-coding RNA is filed under the name Pongo abelii (Sumatran orangutan). RNAcentral describes it as "lincRNA". Lineage: Eukaryota; Metazoa; Chordata; Mammalia; Primates; Hominidae. The record is from RNAcentral.
GCGGGCGCCAGGGGGCUGCGCGGCCGCGCCGCAGAAGGUGAAGGAGCAGCGCGAGGCACGCAGCCGCCGCACCGUGGCGCGCACGAGCUCAGCAGGCCGGCGACCCCAGCGCGCCCACAGGACAGUGGCAGCUGGAAAGUGGGUUCCUGCAUGGUAACAAGACCUUAAACUUGUGUCACUGGAGAAGGACGUGCAGUUCCCGCUGAGGAGAGACUUGGCCACUCCAAGACAACACAGGACUACAAGUCAGGAAUUUGAAAAUGAAAAGUGCUGAACAGUGAUAAAUCCUAAAUGUUUCACUGAACAACCUUUCAGAUAGCCUUCUUGAAGUUUGCUGCAUUAUGGCUAUAAGGACCACUCCCCACCCCUGCUAGAAGGUUGUUUGCCACCCAAGAGGGCAUCAAUACAAAAACCCUAAAGCUGGGAUUCCAAAGCACAGAGUCGCGGGAGAGAACCAAAGCUCAUCGCAUCUGGUUUAAGACUCCUUCAGAGUUGGAUCAGCCUAAAAACAGGACAUGGUACAAGAUUGUAUUAGUUCCAAAGAUUGUAAGAAUUAAAUUUAUCCUGAGAAUGUAUCAGUCUGUGUAGGAGUUACAGACUUCUAUGAGCAAGCAGAGUACCUGGCAUUCCUGACCAUGCUAUUUCUACCAAUCAACAGAAACUACUAGAUACUCAGAGGGGAUUUAAUACAGAGAGUUAGCUACAACAUGACAAAACACCAGACAAGAGAGGGCGCUGUGGCUCAUGCCUGUAAUCCCAGCACUUCGGGAGGCCAAGGCGGGUGGAUCACCUGAGGUCAGGAGUUCGAGAGCAGCUGACCAACAUGGUGAAACCCCAUCUCUACUAAUACAAAAAAUUAGCUGGGAGUGGUGGCAGGCACCUGUAAUCCCAGCUACUUGGGAGGCUGAGGCAGGAGAAUCGCUUGAACCCGGGAGGUGGAGGUUGCAGUAAGCCAAGAUCGUGCCCUUGCACUCCAGCCUGGGCAACAAGAGUGAAACUCCGUCUGAAAUAAAUAAAUGAAAUAAACAAACAAACGGACACACACCACAGAAGGGACAGUGAGGCAACCCAGGGAAUAGAAACAGCAGAAGCCGCAACCCUUUGUAGGGCUGAGGGCACACAGCACAGGUCAAGUUACAGUCGCCUGGGAUCCAGGGUCCCCUAGUGGAAGCUGGAACCCACAGAUUAGUGCUGUGGGAGAUGGAGCCACAGAGAAACAACUGCUGCUGGAGACAUCAGCAGAGGAAGAAGGCGGAAAAAUACUGUAGCCGCUCCACACCUCCAGCCCAACGCCCCGUGGCCGAACCUCCCUAGAGGCCCCACGGCAGAAGAGCCUCCAGGAACCUCCUUGUGGACCAGAGGAGACAGAGGCGGCGGGAGGCAAGGGCGUGUCUAAGAACAAACAGGCCACGGCCAGCCCCUGGCCUUUCUGAAACUCCUCCCUUGGGUUCUUUUAAAAUUCAAUAUUCUGCUUCUGUUCCUGUGUUGAUGGGCUGAACUGUGUCCCCCCAAAUUCUAAUGUUGAAGUUCUAACCCCCAGUACCUCAGAAUGGGACUGCAGCAGGAGACAGGUACUUUAAAAUAGUCAUUAAGGUAAAAUGAGGUCACCAGGGUGGGCCCUAAUCUGUUGACUGGUGUCCUUAUAAGGAGAGGAGACUCGACACAGAUAUGCACAGGGGGACAAUCCUGUGAGGACAAAGGGAGAAGACAGCCAUAUCCAAGCCAAGGAGAGAGGCCUCAGGAGAAGCCAACCCCGCCCACACCUUCAUCUUGGACUUCUAGCUUCCAGAACUGGGGAAAUGAAUUUCUGUUGUUGAAGCCCCAGUCUGCAGUACUUAGUUAUAGCAGCCCUUGCGAACCAGCACAUCCGAGUUCUCCGUCUCUGUCUCUAACCCCUCUCUCAACUGCCGGCCAUAAGUGAGCCUCUGCCCCCAACUUCUGGCCUCCUCUAUGUUCUCUUGCUUAGUGACCCCAUUCUCCCUUGUGUUCAGCGGUGACCUCUGGCAGUGACACUCAGUCCUCAUGGCCGGCUCUGGCCUCUCCCAGGCUCUGGCGCCGCAAUCAUUACUUCUACUUGUCUCUGCUUGGAUAGUCUGUCAGCAUCUCAAAGGCAACAUGAAUAAAACCAAAUGCAUUUUUUCCUCCCA